GACGAACGCUGGCGGCGUGCUUAACACAUGCAAGUCGAGCGGUAAGGCCCUUUCGGGGGUACACGAGCGGCGAACGGGUGAGUAACACGUGGGUGACCUGCCCUCAGCUCUGGGAUAAGCCUGGGAAACUGGGUCUAAUACUGGAUAUGACUCCACGGUGCAUGUCGUGGGGUGGAAAGCCUUGUGCGGCUGAGGAUGGGCCCGCGGCCUAUCAGCUUGUUGGGGGGUGAUGGCCUACCAAGGCGACGACGGGUAGCCGGCCUGAGAGGGCGACCGGCCACACUGGGACUGAGACACGGCCAGACUCCUACGGGAGGCAGCAGUGGGGAAUCUUGCGCAAUGGGCGAAAGCCUGACGCAGCGACGCCGCGUGA
RNAcentral lists this ribosomal RNA (373 nucleotides) under uncultured bacterium. RNAcentral's name for it is "bacterial SSU rRNA". It matches the Rfam family "Bacterial small subunit ribosomal RNA", at positions 28 to 404 of the family's 1533-position model. The record is from RNAcentral.